ACAGGCCCCAGGCCAUGGUGGCAGGGUGACCCAGGUAAUAAGGAGCCCCAAGAACCCAAUGCAAGGGUCCCAGAGAUGGUCCUUCCUGGGCCAGGCUCACCUAAAGGGUCAGAUCCAGACAUACUAGAAACUUCUCGCCCUUCAGUGCCCAUUUUCCCCUGCAGGGAAUGUAUCCGGUGGCUGAGAGUUGGCAGAAUGGGGACUGCCCCUUGAAGAAACCAUACUCUGCAACAGAUGGAUGGACCCUGAUAAAAGAAGUCAAGGCCAAGAGCAGUGGAGGCUUGUUGUUAAGGCCAAAUGGGAUCAGGCAUGAAAGGCAUGAAAAAAAGAAGAAAAAUGAAAUGAAAUAUUUAAUUACAUUAAAUAAUCAAUCAAAGACUUCUGUGUGACCCGAGUCACAACUAUUUAAUCCUGGGUUUCUUUUGGAUUUCCAAUUGUUCCUUUCAUCUCUGAGCCUAGUCACUCUCUUGCUGGUGGAGCAAGGAGGAAGGGACCUGCAGAUUACAGAAUCACAUGACAAGGUUUCCUCCAGCUUUCUUAAUACAAGGAGGUCCAAAAUGGCUCUCUUGUCUCUUGAGCCUUCGCAGCAAAGUUUCCAUGGAAACUGCUGAGCUGUCAAAUGAUCAGCCAUAGGAAUUCUAAGCAAACAGGAUUUUUCAGCCAGUAACAUAGAGCCAGACUAAAGUACAAUGGGAUAAAGUAAUUUUGAGUAGCGCUGACCCCUCUGAUAACCCUUCAGAUGCAACUUUUCUCUGAUUUGCUAACUUUCCGCUGUGAGGGAUGGGCCAUACACACAGAGGUCAACUGCCAUAUUGGGAACAAAGAACAAAUUGUACCCCUCACCCCCGAUGGCUGUUUCCAACCACAGCAGAAAGGCCCGGCUCCUGUAACAGAAGGUCCAGUGGAUAGGUACAAGGAGUCUGUACAGCAGGUUGAGGAAGUACAACUAAGACACUAAGGUUCCAUGCACCCAGGGAAUGGAGGGGAUCUCUCUGCCACUUCCACUAUAUCGAUCAGAUGAUCUGAGCGGUUACCAAGGCAACUGAACGUCAGAGCUUUACAGUCUCCUAACCUUGUCAACAUAUCUGAAUGUGCACACAUAGAUGACAUCACCUGGUAUCCGUGAUCAAACCCAUACCAGAUCAUGGGCCCCUGACUAUCCGAUCACUGGGCAUGCCUACAACCUGAAAUUCUUCAACUGGAGAUGUCUGGGAAGUAAUCUGGACAUCUUCACACUACGUCCUAAUUCUUCUGCAUACAAAAUCCUAACAUGGCAUAUGGUGAGGACAGCUGCAGGAAGGAAGAAAAUAGCUACAGAAAUCCAAGUCACAUACACUUUUGUGCCCCAGGGUUCAAUGAACUCUGCUUGGCAGUCAAAUAUGCCUGGAGAUACUUCAGUUUUCCGAAAGAUAAAUACCUGGGGAAUGCUAAAGACCAACGAGAUACACCAGCUGAUGCAGAUGGAAGCAUUCCAAAGAGCCCCUUUCUUUUGCAAAGGGGCUGUCGGAUAGCACACUGCUUGGAAUCUGUCCAUUGCCAUUACUACUAUCAUAUAAGUGGAGGCAAACAUGCUCAGUAGCUGAAGAUAACUGAUGGUUCUGCAUAGGAUAUCUGGACCUAUGAAGAUAUCUGUAAUUUUCCAAAACAGCUGAGGAAGGACUUGAAAGAAUGCAACCAUCAGGUCGGCAAUGCUUAGGUGAAGCAGGAACACAUACAUUCUUGACAGCUUCAUUCUUCUCCUCCAUAGCAGUAGUAUGAGGAUGCAGUUGCCCACAGAUGCUGCCAAAAAUAAUAUUCCUAGCACAGCAAUUUCUACCUGAGCUAAUUGCGCAUCUCUUGGUUGUCUUUCAGGUAGAAUCGAUGUAUUUGUUAAGUUGAGAAAACUGUGGAGAAAAGGAGUCCCAAGCUGGUAGUCAUUUUCUUGAGGAGAAAAUGAGAAAUUCUUCAUAGUACACAGGGAAUGUUUUAAGAUUGUAACUUAGAUUGGCAGCUGCAGAGGACAAGCUAGUGAAUAUACCACCAGUUGUUCAGAUUUCAGUGUCUUGAAGCAUAUGGAUGCAUGGUUCAGUGUUCUUUAAUGUCAAUAUAAUUCUGUUUCUUUUCCUCCAGUGUAAGAGAUGGGGGGAGCCUUUAUUCUUGACAAGGAGAGCUUUAUGUAACUUCAGAUACUGUUGUUCCCUUAACCAAGAAGAAUAAGGGGGGGGGACUAACAGAGUUAAGCAUAUAUUUAAAGAAACUAGUAGGGUUAAAUGAACCACCCAUUUCCAUCAAAUUCUAAAGUAAUAGCGACCUACAUAUUUAUAUAUGGGAACUUUGCCAGGUGUCUGUGUGACAACUAUGUUCCUUAAUUUAAUACUCAUGUUCUUCUAAAGCCAAAUAUUUCUGCUUUUCUGCAUGGAAAAGCUGCACACUUGGCAUGGGAUUCUUCAUCAUCAAAACCUCUUGAAUCCUUGGGACAAAGAUGAUAGGCUAAAAUCUCUGUAUUCUAGAGUAUUUGAUUUUACUAGCCUCAACAAUAACACUCCAAAAUGUGAGUAUCACUCUGAAAGAAAACUGUUCUAAAAAUAAUCAUAUUUUUCUGUCUAAAAGGCCUAGAAUAGGAUUAUUUUGCUUAUUCAAAAAAAGUUCACUACAUUUCCUAGAACUACACAUCUGCUCAGAUUUUUUUCAGCUGACAAAAACAAAACGCAGUAGAAAAUGCUGAGACAGAUGUCUGAAAAACUCCAAUUGAGAUGGUCAUUGCUGUUUUGAUGGCUGCAACCUACAAAAUUGCUGCAAAAGUUCAAAGAAUGUACACCAAAAUCCGACAGUUACUUGAUAACAAUGAUUACUCAAUAACAUAACUAUAUUUAGGAUUUUAGCCAUUAUAUGAGCUCCUUCACACACUGCAUGGCAAAGCAGACUUGCAUUUGCUCUUAAGCUGUAGUUCUAGGAUUUAGUGGGAAGCCACAGCUAUUCCUAGAUUUCUGGUGAAUAUAACAAUAUAAAGCACAUUUUCAAGUACAUUUUUGUUGUGUUCAUACUACUUAUUUUUUAUGAGCACAAUACCUUAAAAAUGUGUUUCAUUCUUAGAAAUGUGUGUUCAGAAAGCAAUGUCUUCUGCUUUCCCCAAGAGCAAUUAUAGUUUUUUUUAAACUAUAAAAGAAUGUAACUUGUGAAGAAAAGACUAGACAACUUUCCUAAAAUAACUCCCUUUACAGCUUUCUCCCAAUAACACCACAUUUCCUACUUAUUUCAACUUAAAGUAUUCUAAGCAUUGGAGUCUGCAAGCUAAUUACUCAACUAUUCUUUUCAUAUUUGUUUAAAAGGUUUAAAAUACUUACUUAGCUUGCAGAAGUGUUGUCAAGUCCUGUUAAUUGGUCUUUAUAAGGUAUGAUAAGUCCACUGACUCCUCAGAGUAAUUAUUCCUUCUCUGCUUGCUUAAAGCUGCAUAGCAGUAACUGAGUGGCUGAAAUUCUUUCCCCAGCUUUCAUUGUGGAGAAAGGGGAUGUCCUUGCAUCAAUUGUCUCAAAUGCUCUAUGUACCUGAACUUCUCUUGGGUAAAAAUACUUCUACUGCUAACAUAUGGCUUGUAUUCAUGUGAUUUGUAUGAGCAACUAAUAGAGUGCCUAGUCACAGCUAGCUAUCCUGUCAUAAUAUAUGUGAUAUACGCCUGAAACGCUUGCCUUUUGACAUUAACAAAAAAGAAAGCACAACCGUUUCUUAAAAGAUGUUUUGCACCACACAUAUUUAUUUAUUUUACUUCCGAAAACAUAUAAGCCAUCCUUCAGCAGAAGGCUUCCAGGGCAGUUUAUAGAAUAAUAAAAUGAUAAAACCAUUUCAGAAAAAUAGCAGGGAGCAGCAGCCAAUCAGUAAAAUCAAGCAGAAAACUAAAAUAGUAGUUUAUUAUUUUAUGUUAUUAUUUAUACUAAAAUUUAUACUACUUAUACUAAAAUAGCAGUAUAAAAAUAUUUUUUCUAUUUGUAUUUGUCAUAUUCUUAAUGUUCAGUCAUACCAGUUCAAUGACACCAGUUCACUAUGAGCCAGUUCAGAUGAUAGCAGCCCAGCACACCUGAAGAAAGAGGGAGGUGCUCUCUUAGAAUGACUCUUGAUCAUUUGUUUAUGAGGGCUGUUCAUCCAUAUUGCCUCUACAUGUGCUACAAAUACUUGUUUGAACAGGUUAUACACAUGUUAAGAGACCACUGGGAUGAACAGUCCCCACACAAUCAAGAGAUGUGCCAAGAGGAUAUCCUGAUGGGUGUGCUCUCAGUGCCACCUCUCUACACAUAUGCUGUGCCAAUAUUGUUUGAACUGGCCCUACGUUGUGUGCUGGAUUACCUGGGCAAAUAAAGUCUUCACAUUAAACUUAGUGCCAGGCACGCUUCUGUGAGUAUUCUGUAUGCGGGGCACCACAACCAAGAAAAAUCUCACAUUGGCUGUCACAUUGGCUGUCACAUUGGUUGUCACCCAAAAGCCGGUAGACACAGAAGAGGACCUCCAAUAAUGAAUACAAGGCUUUUUUUCCAUGUGUUGUAUUGCUAGAAAUGAGCAUAUAAUUAACUUACUGAAGUAGAAAUAGACUGUCUAUACAACAGCAGACUUGCAGCAGAAUGGCAUAGCAUAUAUUUGAGUUCUGAAUGUCUCACAUUUACAAGGUAGCAGGCUUAUGACACACCAAAAUAUAUUCUCAAUAGAUUUUUCUGGAAAAGUUUACUGAAAGUCCUAUUUGGACAGUGCAUACAAGUGUACAGGUAUACAUAUACAUGUUUUUGUGUGGAUGAUUGUAUGCGUGCUCAUUUGAAAACUAAAUCUGAGUACAGACUCCUACAAAUGCAAGAUAUAAAUAGGAAAUGUCCUGCUCUGGGUGUUUGAAGAUAAUGGACUUGUUGAAUGAUAUUCUAUUCACUUGCCUGACCACAUGCAAUAACGACAUGCACAUUCUAUGAUCUGACCUAAUAAUUAACAAUACCUAUGUUUCAGCUAUGUAGUAUAAUGCUAAUUAGAAAUGUGCAAAUCAA
Molecule: long non-coding RNA, 4997 nt
Organism: Hemicordylus capensis (graceful crag lizard)
Lineage: Eukaryota; Metazoa; Chordata; Lepidosauria; Squamata; Cordylidae
Exons: 4
Source: RefSeq, a predicted model, not a curated record